RNAcentral lists this ribosomal RNA (576 nucleotides) under uncultured eukaryote. RNAcentral describes it as "SSU rRNA". It matches the Rfam family "Eukaryotic small subunit ribosomal RNA", at positions 203 to 794 of the family's 1831-position model. The record is from RNAcentral.
UAUUUAUUAGAUAACAGACCAAUAUUCCUCGUGUCUAUUGUGGUGACUCAUAGUAACUGAUCGGAUCGCAUGGCCUUGUGCCGCGACUAACCAUUCAAGUUUCUGACCCAUCAGCUUUCGAUGGUAGUGUAUUGGACUACCAUGGCUUUCACGGGUAACGGAGGAUUAGGGUUCGAUUCCGGAGAGGGAGCCUGAGAAACGGCUACCACAUCUAAGGAAGGCAGCAGGCGCGUAAAUUACCCAAUCCUGACUCAGGGAGGUAGUGACAAGAAAUAACGGGUCGGGGCAUUCGCCUCGGGAUUGCAAUGAAUCGAAUUUACACCCCUUAAUGAGGAUCAAUUGGAGGGCAAGUCUGGUGCCAGCAGCCGCGGUAAUUCCAGCUCCAAUAGCGUAUAUUAAAGUUGUUGCAGUUAAAAAGCUCGUAGUUUGAUUUCUGGACGGGCGCCAACACCCGCUUGUUUAGUGUGGAGGCGGCGCCCGCCCAUCCUUCUGUUAACGCCACCGGCAUCCGUUUGCUGGCGGCGGGCUCAGAUAUUUUACCUUGAGAAAAUUAGAGUGUUUCAGGCAGGCUUGCGC